RNAcentral lists this ribosomal RNA (441 nucleotides) under uncultured bacterium. Its description in RNAcentral is "partial 16S ribosomal RNA". It matches the Rfam family "Bacterial small subunit ribosomal RNA", at positions 338 to 795 of the family's 1533-position model. The record is from RNAcentral.
CCUACGGGGGGCAGCAGUGGGGAAUAUUGCACAAUGGGGGAAACCCUGAUGCAGCGACGCCGCGUGAGUGAAGAAGUAUUUCGGGAUGGAAAGCUCUAUCAGCAGGGAAGAAGCAAGACGGUACCUGACCAAGAAGCCCCGGCUAACUACGUGCCAGCAGCCGCGGUAAGACGUAGGGGGCAAGCGUUAUCCGGAUUUACGGGGUGUAAAGGGAGCGUAGACGGUAUGGCAAGUCGGAGGUGAAAGCCCAGGGCUUAACCCUGGGACUGCUUUGGAAACUGUUAGACUAGAGUGCUGGAGGGGUAAGUGGAAUUCCUAGUGUAGCGGUGAAAUGCGUAGAUAUUAGGAGGAACACCAGUGGCGAAGGCGGCUUACUGGACAGUAACUGACGUUGAGGCUCGAAAGCGUGGGGAGCAAACAGGAUUAGAUACCCCAGUAGUC